AAAGCCAGGCAAGAUGAGAUGAUAAACCUCGGGGUGGCCAAAAACCGAACAGGUGCUAUAUAGAGCACCGGU
RNAcentral lists this ribosomal RNA (72 nucleotides) under Boodlea composita. Its description in RNAcentral is "s-rRNA". Lineage: Eukaryota; Viridiplantae; Chlorophyta; Ulvophyceae; Cladophorales; Boodleaceae. The record is from RNAcentral.